RNAcentral lists this transfer RNA (67 nucleotides) under Diadromus collaris. RNAcentral describes it as "tRNA-Asp". The record is from RNAcentral. Lineage: Eukaryota; Metazoa; Arthropoda; Insecta; Hymenoptera; Ichneumonidae.
AAAAAAUUAGUUAAUUUAUAACAUUAAAAUGUCAAUUUAAAAUAAUUAAAUUAUUUAAUAUUUUUUU